Molecule: non-coding RNA, 30 nt
Filed under: Mus musculus (house mouse)
Lineage: Eukaryota; Metazoa; Chordata; Mammalia; Rodentia; Muridae
Also listed under: 1 other name
Source: RNAcentral
UACUUUGGAACAGGACCUUGUAAUGCUGUA